RNAcentral lists this ribosomal RNA (2998 nucleotides) under Clavulina sp. RNAcentral's name for it is "large subunit ribosomal RNA". It matches the Rfam family "Bacterial large subunit ribosomal RNA". The record is from RNAcentral. Lineage: Eukaryota; Fungi; Basidiomycota; Agaricomycetes; Cantharellales; Hydnaceae.
AAAAUAUAUAAAAGCAUCGGUGCAUAUAUGGAAAACACUAGAAAGUAAUUUAAAGAGAUUAUUUUGGAAAUCAAAGCAUUUUUAGAGAAAAAGGAAACUUCAAUGGGCAAUUGAAUUAAUUAUUCAAAAUAAUUUGCGUUCCUAAGGAAAACCUUUAUUAUUAAAACUUCCCGAACCGAACCAUCGUAGUAAGGAAAGGAAAGGAAAUCAACCGAGACUCUGCAAGUAACGGCGAGUGAAAACAGACUAGCUUUUAAAAUUAUGUACGUAAUUAUAUAUAUUGUAUAUACUAAGCUGAAUUAUAUUUUACAUAUUACAAUUUUAGUAAUUCCCUGAAUAAGUGAGUUACAAUAUUAUUUGUAAUAUAUAAAUUGCAAAUUUCAUUUUUUGUAGUUUAUACGAAAGAGGGCAAAAGUCCCGUAAAAUAUAUACAAUUUAUUUUAAAUACGUAUGUUACAUAUCAAUUAUUGAUAUUGUGAAGCACGAAAACCUGUAAAACAGAAUUGUUAAAAUUUAUUUUAACUAGUGUAUAAUUUUUUAUAAAGUACAACGAAGGAUAUUUUGUUGGAAUACAGGGGAACCAUCCUCUAAAGCUAAGUACUCUAAAAAUAGCGAUAGCGCAAAGUACUGUGAAGGAAAGUGCAUUAAAGACAGGCAGUAGGCCUGGAGAACACGGAAUGAAAAAGUAACUUUACAAGCAACAGGAGUUUAUUAAAGACGACUGUGUACCUUUUGUAUAAUGGGUCAGCAACUUAAUAGGAGUAGCGAGGUGUAAGCCUUAGCGAAAGCGACUAGUUUCAAAUAAAUUUGGUAUAGUUACUCGUAUUAGACCCGAAGAUAGGUGAUCUUACGAUGAUCAGGGUAUAUUGGCCCGAACGGUUGAAUGUUGCAAAAUUCUCCGAUGAAUUGUCGUAAGGGGUGAAAGGCCAAUCUAACCUAUUGUGCUGGUUUUCCACGAAAGAUAUUUAAGUAUCACAUCAAUAUAAAGAUUUAUGAAGGUACAGCUUUGAUUACCAUACGUUAAAGUUAAAUUGGGGGGCUUUGCAACCCUACCUUUGGUAGUUAACCUCGGAAUUACAUAAAUUGUUUAUUGAUAGCCAGACUAUUGAUGAUAAGGUGGGUGGUCGAGACGAAAACAGUCGUGAACACAUGUUUAAGGUUCCAAAAUAUUGUUUAAGUGAAAAUAAGGAAGUUUUUCUCUGUAUACAACUAUUCAAUUCGCCUGGCAGUCGCGAGUGUUUGAGAACGUGUAACAACGCAAUAGUCUAAAUUAUUAUAUUUUUAAUAUAAUGACGGAGAAACGCGCCGAAAAUUUAACGGAUCUAUGACGAUUACCGAUACUGUGUUAUUUUAUAUAAUAAUAAAAUUAUAUGAAAUAGGUAGUGGAACAUUCAGUAAGGACGAAGAACAGUAUUUCAUUGUUUGGACUAAACUGAAGAGAUUAUGCUGACAUGAGUAACGUAAAAAGAUGGAUAUAAUCCAUCUCGCCGAAUACGAGAGGGUUGUUAAGCAAGGUUCAACCGCUUAAUGUAAGUGCGGCCUCUAAGACAUAAUAGUCGAUGAGUCUAAUAAAGAAAGUCCUUACAAUAAUUUGUAAGAUUUAUUAUUUAUUUUUAAUAAAUAAGAUUUAGAUCAGGAAAAUAAUUUAUUAGUCAACCGUACCCUAAACCGACAAAGGUUCGUAGGUAGAGUAUACUAAGGCGAUGAGAUAAUUCUUGUUAAGGAACUCGGCAAAUUGUCCUCAUAAGUUAGACGAGAUGAGGAACCUUCUAUUAAAUUUGAUAGAAUUUUUCUAUGAAAUGAAAAGAGGGUGUCACAAAAUCGGACGCACCGACUGUUUACUAAAAACACAGAUAACUGCUAAGAUGAAAAUAUUUGUAUAGUUGUCGAAUUUUGCCCAAUGCCAUUAAUAUAAACGAGGUGAAAUAUUAUUACCGAGUGAAAGUCUGGUCAAUGGCGGUCUUAACCUUAAGGAUCCAAAGGUAGCAAAAUUCCUUGUCCGCUAAAUACGCUCCUGCAUGAAUAAAGUAACGAUUGCGUCGCUGUCUCUACAAGUAUCUCAGUGAAAUUGAAUUAGCCGUGAAGAUGCGGUUUCUUUGUGGUCGGACGGGAAGACCCUAGCAGCUUUACUGUAAGUUGUUAUCACAUUUUUUUGAUUUAGGUGUAGCAAUAUAAGGGAGUCUACAGGACAAAAGUGAAAGACCUUAACUAAUAUUGAUUAAAUGUUAAAGCUUAUUUAAAUAAGGAUACAUAUGACAACCCGGCAGUUUGUCUGGGGCGGAAGCCUUUAAUAGAGUAUGAAAGGCAUCCAAAUUCUUAAUUAUUUUUAUAUUUAUUUCGGUAAAUAAUAAAUUAUAAUUAUUAGGUAAAUAUACCCAUAUUAAGGUUUGCUAAAAUCGGAUGGAAAUCGAUUAAUCAUGUAAGAUUAAGAAGGCGUAAUGGCUAAAGCAAGCUUCACUGAGAGACAUAUAAGUCAAACAGAUUCGCAAGAAGGGCAUAGUGACCCGGUUGUAUAUCAUGGAAUAGCCAUCGUUUAAUAGAUAAAAGUUACGCUAGGGAUAACAGGCUAGUCGCGGGAGAGAGUUCAUAUCGAUACCGCGCAUCGGCACCUCGAUGUCGACUCAUCUUAUCCUCCGGGUGUAGGGGCUCGGAAGGGUUCGGCUGUUCGCCGAGUGAAAAGGUACGUGAGUUGGGUUUAAUACGACGUGAGUCAGUAUAGUCCCUAUCCUCCAUAAAGAUAAAGAGUAAAAAAAGGAUGGUCUCUCAGUACGAAAGGAUCAGAUGACUGUGUUUCUAUAGUGUACCAAUUGUUUUAUAGCAUAGUUGGGUAGCCACAAACAUAAUGGAUAAGAGCUGAAAGCAUAUUAAGCUCGAAACCAACCUUUAGAUACUCUGUACAAAUAAGAAAUAGACUAUUUCUUAAGAAAAAUUCUAAUAUUUUCUACUUUAUAUUAAAAAUAUAGAGUUUAACUUGUAUAGUUUUUAAUUAUUUAGGAAA